Long non-coding RNA from Salvelinus fontinalis (brook trout), 3898 nucleotides. RefSeq lists it as uncharacterized. The transcript is spliced from 3 exons. Lineage: Eukaryota; Metazoa; Chordata; Actinopteri; Salmoniformes; Salmonidae. The record is from RefSeq and is a predicted model, not a curated record.
UUGACUAACGUAUGUGUACAUUUAUUUUGCAACGCUCACGCUAGCGACGUGAGUGGUGUGGUCAGAAUGUAAGUUUAGUUUUUGCGUCUCUUUUUGUUUUGUACACCAGCUGACAAUACAAUAUUUUUGGUUAUUGAAAAGAUAUUUCACAGCGGUUUAGAUGGUACAAUGAUUCUCUACACUACUUGUUUCAUCACAUAAACUGAAAUUAGGCGGACCAUUAGAAUCUUAGCAACCAGGAAAUGGCAGCGCGAUUCCUGCCUAUUGCACCUAUUUAAGUUGAGGUGAUUUUCUUCACAAGGCAACUUAAUAAAAAAACUCCUCUCUCCAGGUGCUCAGCUGGGUACAGUGGUCGCCCUUCCCCUGUCUGGUCAGAUCUGCUUCUACCUCGACUGGACCUGGGUAUUUUAUAUAUUUGGAAAGGCCGACAGAGGGUUUGAAACAGAGAAGAUGUGAAACUGAACUUUAUAGCAUUUGACCCAUUUCACACAGGUUUUUCGUAGUGUCGGCUUUGUACAGUUUUGUCUUUGUUCAUGCUUACAAUGAAUACAGACACGAUUUCCUUUAUGCAUUCCUUUUUUUAGGGAACAUAAAGGGGAAAACACUUGGUGGGAAAUAUGAUUGGGGGGAAAUUAAGUGCAUGUCACAAGCAAAGCUUGUGCGGCAUGUCCGUACAUGUGUUUGUGUUUACAUUUGAGUCAUUUAGCAGAUGCUCUUAUCCAGAGAAACGUACCAUUUGACCAUUAGUGCACUAUUUGACUGUGUGUGUUUUAGGUAUUGUGGAGAUUGUGUGGUUCAUCCUGUGGGCUCUCCUUGUCAGUAACACUCCAAGCACACACUCGCGGAUCUCAGAACAGGAGAGACUACAUCACUUCUACCCUGAAUAAGGACGUAUGUUGCAAAAGCAGCUGGGAAUUGUAGUGUCUGAUCUUUAUGUCUAAGGCCCACUCUUUGUAAAUUGGCAGACUAUGGUUGUGUCAGGUUCAUGAACAUUAAGUACAUAAAUAUAGAAUACAGUGGUCAAAUACGCAGUGAAGUUAUGUACAGCUUUUUUGUUUUUGUUUUUGUCCUCAGUACAGUAGCAGUGUAAACUGGCACACUAUUUGGUGCAACAGCAAUCUCAACAGGAGGAACUGACUGCCUUUUUAUGAACACUGUUAUAUGCAACCCUUUUUACUGCGGUCACAUAACAUUUAUUGUAUUUUUACUUCACAUUUGUUAUGCAACACAUGGCAGACAUUGAGACAUUGAAAAAAAAAUAAGGUGUUUCUAGCCAAAUAUCAACAAAGCACUUUUCUAAGCCACCCUCAAAUAAGCCAGUGAUAAAAGUGAUAUUCCACAUGGGCAAGUCUAGUGUUAUUUUAAGAUGGUCAUCUUUGAUGUUCUUUUGUUCAGAUCUCUCCGACAGGGGACCACAUCCCCUGGGGGUCCAUCUUGAAGGCCAUGCCGCUGUGGGUCAUAGUGGUGGCUCACUUCUACCACUGGACCUUCCACACACUACUCACCCUGCUGCCCACAUACAUGAAUGAUGUAAUGGGCUUCAGUAUCAAAGAGGUGAGUUCGUUUGUUCUGGUCACACACCCAGCCACACAGUCUCUGUCAUUAACCCAGUGUUUGUUGUAUGUGGUCCCGUUGGAACGGUGCCCUGUCGCCUCUGCCCUACACCGGCUGUGGGCUGCUAGCUGUGCUGGGUGGCCAGCUGGCGGAUUACCUGAGGGAGAACUUCUUCUACCGCACUGUGGUCAUCAGGAAGACCUUCAGUCUCAUCGUUAUGCUGGAAUUUUGUUGGGAAUCACAAACUCCUUUGCCACGAUACCUGGUAUGGUGGGACCAGUCAUAGCAAGAGCCCUGACCAAAAAUGUAGGGGUUUGCGCUGGAUUUUGUGGACUCUUGUGCCUAAAAUCACUUGAUGAAGUCUUGCAUGGCCUGACAUCAGACAAGUACCAUUUCUAUUUUUAGUCAUCAUUUGUUGCUUCCUCCGCUAGAUGCUCAGGAGAAGAAAAAACAACAACAAGCCAUAUGAAUUAAGGAUCUUGUAUGUAGCACAGUUAGCGGCAACUGAAAGAACCCAAUCUCAGAGGAUAGAAUCCAAGUGCAGUUCACCCACUCCCAAGGCGAAGGAUAUACGUCUCACUCGAGAACAGGCCCCGACCCCAGUGAUCUGCGUGAAGAGGAGGCGGAGAAAGAGAGGCCGGGGGGCAGGCUGCCUUCUGAGGAGUCGGAGGCGAUCGAAUAAACCCCCACUCCCCUCUAUUCUGCAAGCAAGCAUGCAAUCUUUGGACAAUAAAAUGGAUGAGUUAUUGGGUAGAUUAAACUACCAACGGGACAUUAAAAACUGUAACAUCUUAUGCUUCACGGAGUCGUGGCUAAAAGACGACAAUAUCAACAUAUAGCUGGCUGGUUAUACGACGUACCGGCAUUAUAGAACAGCGGCGUCUGGUAAGACAAGGGGCGGCGGUCUAUGUAUUUUUGUAAACAACAGCUGGUGCACAAUAUCUAAGGAAGUCUCGAGCUAUUGCUCGCCUGAGGUAGAGUUUCUCAUGAUAAGCUGUAGACCACAUUAACUACCGAGAGAGUUUUCAUCUGUAUUCUUUGUAGCUGUUUACAUACCACCACAGUCAGAGGCUGGCAAUAAGAUAGCAUUGAAUGAGCUGUAUUCCACCAUAAGCAAACAAGAAAACGCUCAACCAGAAGCGGCGCUCCUAGUAGCCGGGGACUUUAAUGCAGGGAAACUUAAGUCAGUUUUGUUAAAUGUGCAACCAGAGGGAAAAUAACUCUGGACCUCCUAUACUCCACACACAGAGAUCCAUACAAAGCUCUCCCUCGCCCUCCAUUUGGCAAAUCUGACCAUAAUUACAUCCUACUGAUUCCUGCUUACAAGCAAAAAUUAAAGCAGGAAGCAACAGUGACUAAAUCAAUAAAAAAGUGGUCAGAUGAAGAAGAUGCUAAGCUACAAGACUGUUUUGCUAGCACAGACUGGAAUAUGUACCGGAUUCCUCCAAUGGCAUUGAGGAGUACACCACAUCUGUCAUUGGAUUCAUCAAUAUGUGCAUCGAUGGCGUCGUCCCCACAGUGACCGUACAUACCUACGCCAACCAGAAGCCAUGGAUUACAAGCAGCGUCCGCACUGAGCUAAAGGCUAGAGCUGCCGCUUUCAAGGAGCGGGACUCUAACCCGGAAGCUUAUAAGAAAUCCCACUAUGCCCUCCGACGAUCCCUCAAACAGGCAAAGCGUCAAUACAGGACUACAGUCGUACUACACCGGCUCUGAAGCUCGUCGGAUGUGGCAGGGUGUGCAAACCAUUAAAGACUACAAAGGGAAGCACAGCUGAGAGCUGCUGAGUGACACGAGCCUACCAGACGAGCUAAACUACUUCUAUCCUCGCUUCGAGGCAAAUAACACCCAAACAGGCAUGAGAGCACCAGCUGUACUGGAAGACUGUGUGAUUAAGCUCUCCGCAGCUGAUGUGAGUAAGACCUUUAGACAGGUCAACAUUCACAAGACCGCAGGGCCAGAUGGAUUACCAGGACGUGUACUGCGAGCAUGCGCUGACCAACUAGCAAAUGUCUUCACUGACAUUUUCAACCUCUCCCUGUCCAAGUCUGUAAUACCAACAUGUUUUAAGCAGACCACCAUAGUGCCUGUGCUCAAAAACACUAAGGUAACCUGCCUAAAUGACUACCAACCCGUAGCACUCACGUCUGUAGCCAUGAAGUACUUUGAAAGGCUGGUCAUGGCUCACAUCAACACCAUCAUCCCAGAAACCCUAGACCCACUCCAACUUGCAUACCGCCACGACAGAUCCACAGAUGAUGCAGUCUCUAUUGCACUCGUCACUGCCCUUUCGCACCUGAACAAAAGGAACAUCUAUGUGAGAAGGCUCUUCAUUGACCAUCGC